AUUGAACGCUGGCGGCAGGCCUAACACAUGCAAGUCGAACGAGUGGCGGACGGGUGAGUAAUGUCUGGGAAACUGCCUGGUGGAGGGGGAUAACUACUGGAAACGGUAGCUAAUACCGCAUACCAUCAGAUGUGCCCAGAUGGGCUUAGCUUGGUGGUGGGGUAACGGCUCACCAAGGCGAAGAUCCCUAGCUGGUCUGAGAGGAUGACCAGCCACACUGGAACUGAGACAAGGUCCAGCCGCCUCCGGGAGGCAGCAGUGGGGAAUAGUGCAAAAUGGGCGCAACCCUGAUGCAGCCAUGCCGCGUGUAUGAAGAAGGCCUGCGGGUUUUAAAGUACUUUCAGCGGGGAGGCGUUACCCGCAGAAGAAGCACCGGCGAACUCCGUGCCAGCCGCCGCGGUAAUUC
This 406-nucleotide ribosomal RNA is filed under the name uncultured bacterium. RNAcentral's name for it is "partial 16S ribosomal RNA". It matches the Rfam family "Bacterial small subunit ribosomal RNA", at positions 30 to 526 of the family's 1533-position model. The record is from RNAcentral.